UGAGUGCAAGUGAAAUAAGGUUAUCUGCUUCAGAAUGCUACCUAUGCCAAAUGGUUUAGUGUUGCUAGAAGAGGAGACACACAAACACACAUCCAGGCAAAGACAGUCCCACAUAAAUGUAAUGGAGUGCCAAAAAUCCUUCCUACAUGCAUCUAUCUGAUUAGACAGCAGACUCUUCAAGGUGUGUAGUGGUAAGAAAAGAGACAACAAACAAAAAUGGCAAUGCAGAAAGUUCUGACUGGAAACAGAAACAGGUGCCCAGAGAGGUGGAAUUUCCAUUCUCAAAUAUAUUAAAAACUCAGCUGGACAAAGAGCUAAGUCCAUCUCACCUCACAUGUCUAGUGCCAGGGCUUGAACUAGAUGACCCCCCAGAAGUCCCUUCCAACCAAAAUUAUUCUAUGAUUUUAUGAAAAGUGACUGCUGUAUCAUUAAUCCAUCUUAAACUGAUGGAAGUUAUUUUGACAGUACUAAUGCUUCCCCGAGCAAAUAAGAAACAUAAACCCAAUCCAGACUCACUGAUGUCAGUGGGAAUCUUGAAUUUAACUUGAAAGGCAUUGGAAAAACUUCAGUGCUUCUAGGAUUCAUGUUAAGAAAAGAUCCUAAACUUCAUUUUUGUCAGCAACACUAGAAAUUGCAUUAGGGUGGUGGUGGUUUUUACUGUAGGUUUCUCAGCAGGUUGCUUUCACAGCAAGAUGAAAAAGCAGCAUUCCACAUCAGCUAUUUUUGAGGAUUCACAAUUUCUGCCUAGAGAGCAGCAGAAUGAAAUGUUUGCUUAGUGCUUUGCAGGUUCCUCCUCCUGAAACUCUGACCUUGACCUGUACAACAAGCAUAUUCUUUUCACAGUGGUAAUGCUUUGCUAGUAUUUUGUUCUGCGCCAUCC
Molecule: long non-coding RNA, 880 nt
Organism: Neopsephotus bourkii (Bourke's parrot)
Lineage: Eukaryota; Metazoa; Chordata; Aves; Psittaciformes; Psittacidae
Exons: 3
Source: RefSeq, a predicted model, not a curated record